This is a long non-coding RNA of Brassica napus (rape), 348 nucleotides long. RefSeq lists it as uncharacterized. The transcript is spliced from 3 exons. NCBI's taxonomy places the organism in Eukaryota, Viridiplantae, Streptophyta, Magnoliopsida, Brassicales, Brassicaceae. The record is from RefSeq and is a predicted model, not a curated record.
AGAUCUACCCAUCUAUGGAGCGAAAGCCACACUAAACGUCUGGAACCCAGUUUGAGUCAGGGGACGACUUCAGUUUGGCGCAGAUCUGGGUCACGUCUGGAAGUUACGAAAACCAAGACCUCAACACGCUUGAGACGGGUUGGCAGGUUUACCCGAACAAAUAUGGCGAUCACCAACCUAGACUGUUCACAUAUUGGACCAGCGAUGACUAUCUUAGCAGCGGGUGUUACAACCACUAUGGUAGAGGGUUUGUACAUGUCAACAGACAUGUCGCCCUAGGAGGAGCAAUCGCCGGGACUUCGACUAUUGGGGGAGACCAAUUCGAUAUAACCUUGCAGAUUUGGAAGG